This 253-nucleotide ribosomal RNA is filed under the name uncultured bacterium. RNAcentral describes it as "partial 16S ribosomal RNA". It matches the Rfam family "Bacterial small subunit ribosomal RNA", at positions 524 to 776 of the family's 1533-position model. The record is from RNAcentral.
UACAGAGGUCCCAAGCGUUGUUCGGAUUCACUGGGCGUAAAGGGUGCGUAGGUGGUAAAGCAAGUCAGGUGUGAAAUCUCCGGGCUCAACCCGGAAGUGGCAUUCGAAACUACCUUGCUAGAGGGUUUGAGGGGGGACUGGAAUACUUGGUGUAGCAGUGAAAUGCGUAGAUAUCAAGUGGAACACCAGUGGCGAAGGCGAGUCCCUGGAAAACUCCUGACACUGAGGCACGAAAGCUAGGGGAGCAAACAGG